Molecule: long non-coding RNA, 815 nt
Organism: Anolis carolinensis (green anole)
Lineage: Eukaryota; Metazoa; Chordata; Lepidosauria; Squamata; Anolidae
Exons: 2
Source: RefSeq, a predicted model, not a curated record
AACUUGCCCUAUCUCCCCAAAGGGAUUCAGGAUGGCUUCCAGCACUGUAAAAUGUAAUGUCAAACAUUCAGUGCCAAAAAUAACAUAUAUCAAAUCAGAAACAAACAAUAAAAAUUAUAAAAAUAACAGCUUAUAAUGACAUAACAUCAUACCUUCUACACAUUUACAACAUAUUAAAUUCACUAAAACACUUAAAAAUCAUCAAUUUCCCUUUUCCCAGGACUGACAGACCUGCGUCUGUACUUGCUGUCAGGUCCUGGGAUUUUCUUCCCCACUUUUUAAACCCACAUUUUGACACUGUCUGGUAGAGCUCUCAAUCUCAAAGGUGAUAUAAGAUUCCUCAGCAUACAAAAAAUACCUGCUUUAGUCAAUAGAUGGCACUCUAUCCCAAAGGAACUUGUUUUCGAAAAUGGCUCUUACAGAAGAAACUUUAACUGAGCACAAUUGAGCACAACUAACACUUCAUAAAUUAAUAGAAACUGAAAAGAACAACUUCAGGAGAAUACCAACUAUGGGCGAUAAUUUUAAAUCAUGAUUAAAAGAUGGCAAGGCACAAAACAAGGAAAAGAAGUGAGCAGCAUGAAGGCAUGACUGAGCUAUUGCUACCCAAAUAAAAGCAUAACAAGAUCUAUAUAAGUACCACCUAAAGAGAGGAGGAAAUGCCACUAUUUUCUUAUAGCUAAAUAUAAACUUUCAUGAAGAUAUGGAAAGUUGUGCAAUUUAUUCCUAUAAAUUGAUUCUAUUCUGCUAUAAUCUUUUUUUCUCAUGGCUAUGACCUGUUGAAAUAAAGACAGUAAUUCCUUUAUCUCUGUAAA